UCUAACUGAGACGGUGUCCAACACUUGGAGAUCUACUUCAUCUACUAAUGAUGGAGCUGCCUCUUUGAUAAUUAAACUCCAUAAUACCAGAAAAGCACUCAAAGCCUGGAUUGCUAAGAUUAGACGUACCACCUCUAAAGAGAAAUCUGAUCUCCUUAAGAUGAUUCAAGACUUAGAUAGAUUGGAGGAAUUGGCAUGUCUCUCUCCUGUAGACUUUCAACUGUGCUUGACCUACAGACAGGAACUACUUCAAAUCUAUAAUAAAGAGAAGAUCUAUUGGAAGCAACGAGCUAAAAUACUACAAAAAAUUUGACUAUUAGCAAUGGCUAAUUGUCGUCGCUAAUACUAUUAAUGACGGCACCCCAUCGUAGUAUUAGUGAUGGUGCCCUGUCGCUAAUUGGUGGUUAGAACAAUCCUAAUCGUUAAUUACUACU
Molecule: long non-coding RNA, 434 nt
Filed under: Elaeis guineensis (African oil palm)
Lineage: Eukaryota; Viridiplantae; Streptophyta; Magnoliopsida; Arecales; Arecaceae
Description: long non-coding RNA (EGUI_LNC053449)
Source: RNAcentral